GCAGGCGGUUUCGCGUAGCGAAAGCGAAUGCUUUGGGGUGGGGUGACUGCGUACCUUUUGUAUAAUGGGUCAGCGACUUAUAUUCUGUAGCAAGGUUAACCGAAUAGGGGAGCCGGAGGGAAACCGAGUCUUAAUUGGGCGUUAAGUUGCAGGGUAUAGACCCGAAACCCGGUGAUCUAGCCAUGGGCAGGUUGAAGGUUGGGUAACACUAACUGGAGGACCGAACCGACUAAUGUUGAAAAAUUAGCGGAUGACCUGUGGCUGGGGGUGAAAGGCCAAUCAAACCGGGAGAUAGCUGGUUCUCCCCGAAAGCUAUUUAGGUAGCGCCUCGUGAAUUCAUCUCCGGGGGUAGAGCACUGUUUCGGCUAGGGGGCCAUCCCGGCUUACCAACCCGAUGCAAACUGCGAAUACCGGAGAAUGUUAUCACGGGAGACACACGGCGGGUGCUAACGUCCGUCGUGAAGAGGGAAACAACCCAGACCGCCAGCUAAGGUCCCAAAGUCAUGGUUAAGUGGGAAACGAUGUGGGAAGGCCCAGACAGCCAGGAUGUUGGCUUAGAAGCAGCCAUCAUUUAAAGAAAGCGUAAUAGCUCACUGGUCGAGUCGGCCUGCGCGGAAGAUGUAACGGGGCUAAACCAUGCACCGAAGCUGCGGCAGCGACACUGUGUGUUGUUGGGUAGGGGAGCGUUCUGUAAGCCUGUGAAGGUGUGUCGUGAGGCAUGCUGGAGGUAUCAGAAGUGCGAAUGCUGACAUAAGUAACGAUAAAGCGGGUGAAAAGCCCGCUCGCCGGAAGACCAAGGGUUCCUGUCCAACGUUAAUCGGGGCAGGGUGAGUCGACCCCUAAGGCGAGGCCGAAAGGCGUAGUCGAUGGGAAACGGGUUAAUAUUCCCGUACUUGGUGUUACUGCGAAGGGGGGACGGAGAAGGCUAUGUUGGCCGGGCGACGGUUGUCCCGGUUUAAGCGUGUAGGUGUGUGUUCCAGGUAAAUCCGGUUCACUUUAACACUGAGGCGUGACGACGAGGCACUACGGUGCUGAAGCAACAAAUGCCCUGCUUCCAGGAAAAGCCUCUAAGCAUCAGGUAACAUCAAAUCGUACCCCAAACCGACACAGGUGGUCAGGUAGAGAAUACCAAGGCGCUUGAGAGAACUCGGGUGAAGGAACUAGGCAAAAUGGUGCCGUAACUUCGGGAGAAGGCACGCUGACACGUAGGUGAAGUGAUUUACUCAUGGAGCUGAAGUCAGUCGAAGAUACCAGCUGGCUGCAACUGUUUAUUAAAAACACAGCACUGUGCAAACACGAAAGUGGACGUAUACGGUGUGACGCCUGCCCGGUGCCGGAAGGUUAAUUGAUGGGGUCAGCGCAAGCGAAGCUCCUGAUCGAAGCCCCGGUAAACGGCGGCCGUAACUAUAACGGUCCUAAGGUAGCGAAAUUCCUUGUCGGGUAAGUUCCGACCUGCACGAAUGGCGUAAUGAUGGCCAGGCUGUCUCCACCCGAGACUCAGUGAAAUUGAACUCGCUGUGAAGAUGCAGUGUACCCGCGGCAAGACGGAAAGACCCCGUGAACCUUUACUAUAGCUUGACACUGAACAUUGAGCCUUGAUGUGUAGGAUAGGUGGGAGGCUUUGAAGUGUGGACGCCAGUCUGCAUGGAGCCGACCUUGAAAUACCACCCUUUAAUGUUUGAUGUUCUAACGUGGACCCGUUACCCGGGUUGCGGACAGUGUCUGGUGGGUAGUUUGACUGGGGCGGUCUCCUCC
This 1755-nucleotide ribosomal RNA is filed under the name Salmonella enterica subsp. enterica serovar Enteritidis. RNAcentral's name for it is "partial 23S ribosomal RNA". It matches the Rfam family "Bacterial large subunit ribosomal RNA", at positions 573 to 2290 of the family's 2925-position model. The record is from RNAcentral. Lineage: Bacteria; Pseudomonadati; Pseudomonadota; Gammaproteobacteria; Enterobacterales; Enterobacteriaceae.